Molecule: long non-coding RNA, 657 nt
Filed under: Homo sapiens (human)
Lineage: Eukaryota; Metazoa; Chordata; Mammalia; Primates; Hominidae
Description: non-protein coding lnc-JSRP1-2:2
Source: RNAcentral
UGGCUGGCGGAGGCCUGCACGCAGCCGCCGGAGGAGUUCGUGUGGGCUGUGGCCCUGCUGCUGCUGCAGCUGAGCGCGGCCCUGAAGUUCCUGGAGGCGUGGGGCGCGGCCCUAGUCGAGUUGCGGCCGGAGAACUUGCUGCUGGUGGCACCUCGGGGCUGUGCGACGACGGGGCCCCCACGCCUGCUCCUCACUGACUUUGGCCGCGUCUGUCUGCAGCCCCCUGGACCCCCGGGAUCCCCGGGCCCCCACGCGCCGCAGCUGGGCAGCCUCCUCCGAGCGCUGCUCAGCCUUGCUGCGCCCUCGACCACGCCUUUGGCCGCGGGCCUGGAGCUCCUGGCAGCACAGCUGACCCGCUUGCGGCCCUCGGCGUCCCGGACGCGGGGCGCGCUGCAGGCGCUGCUCUGGGGGCCCGGGCCUGAGCUGCGCGGCCGCGGAGCACCGCUUGGUCCCUGGCUCCGAGCGCUCGGGCCCUGGCUGCGGGUGCGCCGCGGGCUGCUGGUCCUGCGCCUAGCAGAGCGGGCCGCAGGUGGGGAAGCUCCCAGCCUCGAGGACUGGCUGUGUUGCGAAUACCUGGCCGAGGCCACCGAGUCCUCGAUGGGCCAGGCCCUGGCGCUGCUGUGGGACUGACCCCAACCCAGGGCGAACACACCUGGU